CGAUCCAACCAACCCUCAAAGAUUCGCACCGCGCGGCACGCACCCAGCAGGUUCCAGCGUAAACGCUGCUCUGGUCCCAAGCGCGUCUCCAAACCCCUCCUUUACAGCGCCGCCUCCCCAGCCAGCCCCGGUGCGCAGUGGCGAACAGCCCGCAGAGCCCCCAGGCUUACCUGUAGCAUGUGGUGAGCUCGCCUGAAGACUUCAGACACGGGUCCACGUGUGUCCCAACGCCAGGAGCAGCAGCAGCGGACCCAGGCUCCUGCCCAGCUGGCCCCUGGCAGCUCCUCCCCGGCUCGGAGGCGGCGGCACCAUCAGGGAAGCUCCCGGCUUCUUCCCAGCGCCGAGCUCCGUCCGGACCAAGCGUCCUGCUCCUCCGCGGCCGCCGCCGCCUUCCCUCUUCCCGGCAGGGGGCGCCGGAGAGCAGGGGCGUUUGCACCACCUGCACGGGGAGCAGGGGUCCGGAAUAUUAUGGGGCUGGGGGGAAAAUGAGGCUAGGAGUUGGGGUAUCGGAUGCAAACCCAGCAGAGAAGCAGGUAAAGGGGGUACCUGCGGUGUCCGGCUGGCGCGAGGGCCCUGAGGUUCAAGUUGUCUCGUCGGGACGUUCACGUCCGAUUGACAGACUUGCUGGACUCGGCUUGGGGCUGCGCCCUCGCCUCUUCCCUCUCCCUCCUCUGGGAGAACCGCACAGGGUGGGGAAAGCGGCGGUUGUUUGCAUUUUGCACCAGGGUCGCACGACCGGGAGGAGGAGGAGCUGAUUCUCCACCGGGGAGAAGAGGGAGGGGGAAGAGAGGGGUUAAUAAGCUUCCUUCCUGUUGUCCAUGGGUUUCUAAAGCCCAGGGUCAGGCCAGUGUUCGUCUUUCCUCCGUGAGGACCUACCCUGAGAUUUGCAACUAUCUUAGUCUUCUUUUCUCUUAGAUUAUGUGAGGAAGGAGGAGUUGAAAGGCUACAACGGGCCUCUCAAAUUGUUCAAACCUGAAAUAGCGCUAUUUAUAUAGUGUAAUCACUCUUCCUUAAAACCUUUAGAAGAAAGUUCUCUGGUUGUUUCAUUGGUCAAUAAACCAUGCGCUGUCUUCUUCAUAA
Molecule: non-coding RNA, 1080 nt
Filed under: Pan troglodytes (chimpanzee)
Lineage: Eukaryota; Metazoa; Chordata; Mammalia; Primates; Hominidae
Source: RNAcentral